Molecule: ribosomal RNA, 439 nt
Filed under: uncultured bacterium
Lineage: Bacteria
Description: partial 16S ribosomal RNA
Rfam family: Bacterial small subunit ribosomal RNA
Source: RNAcentral
CCUACGGGAGGCAGCAGUGGGGGAUAUUGCACAAUGGGGGAAACCCUGAUGCAGCAACGCCGCGUGAAGGAAGAAGGUCUUCGGAUUGUAAACUUUUGUCUUGUGGGAAGAUAAUGACGGUACUUGAGGAGGAAGCCCCGGCUAACUACGUGCCAGCAGCCGCGGUAAUACGUAGGGGGCUAGCGUUAUCCGGAAUUACUGGGCGUAAAGGGUGCGUAGGUGGUUUCUUAAGUCAGAGGUGAAAGGCUACGGCUCAACCGUAGUAAGCCUUUGAAACUGGGAAACUUGAGUGCAGGAGAGGAGAGUGGAAUUCCUAGUGUAGCGGUGAAAUGCGUAGAUAUUAGGAGGAACACCAGUUGCGAAGGCGGCUCUCUGGACUGUAACUGACACUGAGGCACGAAAGCGUGGGGAGCAAACAGGAUUAGAUACCCCGGUAGUC